This is a long non-coding RNA of Peromyscus californicus insignis, 1610 nucleotides long. RefSeq lists it as uncharacterized. The transcript has 3 exons. The record is from RefSeq and is a predicted model, not a curated record. NCBI's taxonomy places the organism in Eukaryota, Metazoa, Chordata, Mammalia, Rodentia, Cricetidae.
AUUAGAGUUUAAAAGAAAAAAAAAUAUUUUGGUUUUGAGACAAGGUUUCUCUGUGUGGCCCUGGCUGUCCUGGAACUCACUCUGGAGACCAGGCUGGCCUCAAAGUCACAGAGAUCAACCCACCUCUGUCUCCCAAGUGCUGGAAUUAAAGGCGCACGCCACCACUGCCUGGCCAAAAGAAAAUUUUCAAAGCAAGCAAACUGUGAAUCUAGGCAGCUGCCUGGAGGAGGGAGAUGGAGAAGAGGAAGUCUGACGCUAUCUUCUUAGAGUUAGACUUGGAGGUCAGCCAUGUGGUGGACAAGAAUCCACUUGGCAGAGCGGGGAGCUUUACAGAAAAAGCGAUGUCCAAAGUAUAGGGUAAGCAUGCUUAGAACAGGGGUAGAAAGAUGGAAAGGAAAUGUUACUCUUUCCGAGUAAUUCAGAGAACUGGGCAGAAUGAAGCCGCAUGGCUGUGGCUCUGUAAGCCACCACACUGAGGGUGGGAAUUCAUUAAGGGAUAAUUAUUCCUCCCCUACCUUUAACAUGCUUAAAGUAAACUUAUCCUCCCGAGGGCUGGUCCUUGGCCAGGUGAUUGACAGGCCCAGCUGGAUUAACACUUUUUAAAAUAUGUUUUCAGCAGCUUUGAAUGUUGGGGUGCCACUCAGGCCAGGCUGGCCUCCACACAGCCCCCAUCAAAGUGACUGUAACACUGGUGGGCCCUGAAAGAGUUACCCCAGGCUGAGAGUUAGCUUGUUGCCUGCUGCAUGACGGAAACUCAGGAGGGGUCACGACCCACAGGUUGAGAACUCCUGCCCAGGAGCAUGGCGGUGCAGAGAAUUUGCAGUUUGGACCUUGAAGAUGACAGGAGACAGAAGACCAGAGCAGAGAUGAGGCAUGCUCCUUGCCCUGUCAUUCGUCAGCAGAUAGAAGGUGCCGGGAGCACCAUCCUCGCAUCUUCUAAACACCCUGAACCAGCCACCAGUUUGAAAAGAGCUGGGAUACUUGCUAAAAUGCAGGUGUCCUGGCUGUCCCCACCUUUACUGACCAGAGUAGGGGAUUCUACAUUUCCUUCACGUCCUCUACAUGGCCCUGGACAGGUGUGGAGGAGAGGAAGAGCAGGGAGGAACCUUCCCGGACCCCGCUGCUCCGGGUUUGUCCGAGCUUUGCCCCUAGCCCUUCCCACGUGUCUUAGAACACGCUCCCUUUCGCGUGGACUCUCAGGGGUAGCAGCUGCCACGGGGCUUUCUAACCCACGCUGGCUGGGCGUGGCUGGGCCCCUCCAUCCCGGGGGCGCUGCACAGAAGCCACCUUGCUCUGUCUCCAUCCCUUCCAUCGCCGCAGCCAGGCCCGGCUCAGCCGAGGGCCGCAUCCUUGCGGGUGGGGCCAUCUGGCCACACACCCGGCCGUGACUCAGCCUCGGCGGGCGGCACAGCCUCGGGCCGUGCGGGGACAAAGCUGCGCCACCGCGCCCCACCUGCAGGCCGCCCGGCUCCCCCGCCCUCCGCUCGGCUCCCGGAGGGAGGUGCUGGCUGUUGCCAGGCAGGCUGGGCCCGCGGCGGCUGCGGUUGGCUCCCGGUCGCCCGCCGCCCCCGCACCGCCUCCGCGCGCUGAGUCACCCCGCCCCACCGGCC